AACGGGUUUCAUUCCAGCUACUUAGGAGUUCUUGAGAAUCAAAUGCGAGUUUCUUUCCCCGAAGCAGGUAUUAAACGAAAUCAUAUCGAAGGAAAGAUAAAAAAAAUGGAAGCGUGAUUAUUUUGAUCUAGACGCUAUACUUCGAAUUCCGGGGUUUGGGUGGAAUCCAAAUGAAAAUAAACUGGUGGUGCAAAAUGAUGUUUGGAAUGAAUUUGUUCGAGAUCAGCCACAACUGAGACAUUUCCGGGACAGGGAAUUUCCCAAUUUUAAUCGUUGGGGCCAUUGCUUUGUUCGACAAGAAAACUAGAAGUAUGAAGUUGUAAGAGGGUGGUCGAAGAAUAAGUUCGUACUUUUGAUAAUUAAUGUUUGAGGAAUAAAUUUGUACCAUUCCGGUUUAUAUCUCAAGUAAUUAUAUUUAUUUGAGAUUACUAAUGUUUUUCUACAUAAUGCAGUCUUCAAUUCGAAAUUGGAGAAAUUAAACUUACAA
Long non-coding RNA from Rhododendron vialii, 487 nucleotides. RefSeq lists it as uncharacterized. The transcript has 2 exons. The record is from RefSeq and is a predicted model, not a curated record. Lineage: Eukaryota; Viridiplantae; Streptophyta; Magnoliopsida; Ericales; Ericaceae.